GAUGGACACCGUAGAGUGCACUGGAUGGCUUGGGACCAAAUGGUCAAACCAAAAAGAGGAGGGGGCAUCGGUUUCCGAGACAUGAAAAUUUUCAACCAAGCUCUCCUUGCUAGACAGGGGUGGAGAUUGAUCCAAUGACCAGAUAGCCUUUGUGCCUGGGUGUUGAAAUCAAAAUACUACCCAAAUGGGGAGCUCCUGGAUACAGUUUUUGCGGUGGAUGCUUCCCCAGUUUGGCGCAGUAUUGAACAUGGUCUUGAAUUAUUAAAGGAAUGUCUUAUUUGGAGAGUGGAUAAUGGAAGGAGGAUCCAAAUCCAAAGGGAUCAAUGGAUGCCCAGGAAAGAGGGUUUGAAGAUGACAAGCUUCAUCACAAGAUCAAGAUUGAGAUGGGCUAAUCAAUUGAUGUUGGGGAUGAGAGAAUGUGAAUGUCCCCCCUGA
This 435-nucleotide ribosomal RNA is filed under the name Triticum aestivum (bread wheat). RNAcentral's name for it is "partial small subunit ribosomal RNA". Lineage: Eukaryota; Viridiplantae; Streptophyta; Magnoliopsida; Poales; Poaceae. The record is from RNAcentral.